UACGUAGGGUGCAAGCGUUACUCGGAAUUACUGGGCGUAAAGCGUGCGCAGGCGGUUAUGUAAGACAGUUGUGAAAUCCCCGGGCUCAACCUGGGAACUGCAUUUGUGACUGCAUCGCUGGAGUGCGGCAGAGGGGGAUGGAAUUCCGCGUGUAGCAGUGAAAUGCGUAGAUAUGCGGAGGAACACCGAUGGCGAAGGCAAUCCCCUGGGCCUGCACUGACGCUCAUGCACGAAAGCGUGGGGAGCAAACAGG
This 253-nucleotide ribosomal RNA is filed under the name uncultured bacterium. Its description in RNAcentral is "partial 16S ribosomal RNA". It matches the Rfam family "Bacterial small subunit ribosomal RNA", at positions 524 to 776 of the family's 1533-position model. The record is from RNAcentral.